RNAcentral lists this ribosomal RNA (484 nucleotides) under uncultured bacterium. RNAcentral's name for it is "bacterial SSU rRNA". It matches the Rfam family "Bacterial small subunit ribosomal RNA", at positions 413 to 907 of the family's 1533-position model. The record is from RNAcentral.
GGCCUUCGGGUUGUAAACCGCUUUCGCCUGUGACGAAGCGUGAGUGACGGUAAUGGGUAAAGAAGCACCGGCUAACUACGUGCCAGCAGCCGCGGUGAUACGUAGGGUGCGAGCGUUGUCCGGAUUUAUUGGGCGUAAAGGGCUCGUAGGUGGUUGAUCGCGUCGGAAGUGUAAUCUUGGGGCUUAACCCUGAGCGUGCUUUCGAUACGGGUUGACUUGAGGAAGGUAGGGGAGAAUGGAAUUCCUGGUGGAGCGGUGGAAUGCGCAGAUAUCAGGAGGAACACCAGUGGCGAAGGCGGUUCUCUGGGCCUUUCCUGACGCUGAGGAGCGAAAGCGUGGGGAGCGAACAGGCUUAGAUACCCUGGUAGUCCACGCUGUAAACGGUGGGUACUAGGUGUGGGGUCCAUUCCACGGGUUCCGUGCCGUAGCUAACGCUUUAAGUACCCCGCCUGGGGAGUACGGCCGCAAGGCUAAAACUCAAAGG